Molecule: long non-coding RNA, 512 nt
Organism: Girardinichthys multiradiatus
Lineage: Eukaryota; Metazoa; Chordata; Actinopteri; Cyprinodontiformes; Goodeidae
Exons: 2
Source: RefSeq, a predicted model, not a curated record
UCCAGUAGUAACAGACUCUCGCCAAAUUCUAGCUCUAGUUUUGCUUUCUUGUUUCCUCCUGAACUCUGAAUAAUUUAAGUAUGUCCUCCUCCUCAGAUUGCUUCCAGACCUGGUCGAGUUCAAGCUGGUUUCCAGACUCUUCUUAAAGAGUGUUUUCUGACUUCUGGAUGAGGAUUCAAGUCUCUAGUUAUUUCCUCCGGAUCAAGUUCAAGUUGGCAGCUUCCUUGCUCUUCGACCAUCCUGAUCAAAUUAUAAGCGAACCCUCUCCACCCUCCAACCAACUCUCACGCAAGACCCUCCAACCUGUGCUCCACACCAUCAAUCCGCUUUCAUCACACAGUCCUAGAUCAAGGCUCCUAAGGAUCUACCUUCACAGAACUGCUCCUGCAUUGUGCUCUCAUACCCCGCAUCUCUCAUCCCUCUGGCAGUUCACCUUCUUUCUCCAAUGGAGAUGUACCAGUCCCAAAUUGCAAACCCAUUUCACUCCCAUGAAAAUAAAUCUUUUAACUUAC